Molecule: ribosomal RNA, 464 nt
Filed under: Haptophyta environmental samples
Lineage: Eukaryota; Haptophyta
Description: SSU rRNA
Rfam family: Eukaryotic small subunit ribosomal RNA
Source: RNAcentral
GCGCGUAAAUUGCCCGAAUCCUGACACAGGGAGGUAGUGACAAGAAAUAACAAUACAGGGCUAUCUUAGUCUUGUAAUUGGAAUGAGUACAAUUUACAUCUCUUCACGAGGAUCAAUUGGAGGGCAAGUCUGGUGCCAGCAGCCGCGGUAAUUCCAGCUCCAAUAGCGUAUAUUAAAGUUGUUGCAGUUAAAACGCUCGUAGUCGGAUUUCGGGGCGGGUCUACCGGUUUGCCGAUGGGUAUAUACUGGUGGGUGCGUCCUUCCUUCCGGAGACCGCGCCUCCUCUUAACUGAGCGGGCGUGGGAGACGGAUCGUUUACUUUGAAAAAAUCAGAGUGUUUCAAGCAGGCAUGUCGCUCUUGCAUGGAUUAGCAUGGGAUAAUGAAAUAGGACUUUGGUGCUAUUUUGCUGGUUUCGAACACCGAAGUAAUGAUUAACAGGGACGGUCAGGGGCACUCGUAUUCC